GACGAACGCUGGCGGCGUGCUUAACACAUGCAAGUCGAACGGAAAGGCCCUGCUUUUGUGGGGUUCUCGAGUGGCGAACGGGUGAGUAACACGUGAGUAACCUGCCCUUCACUUUGGUAUAACUUCAGGAAACUGGGGCUAAUACCGUAUAGGAGCUCCUGCUGCAUGGUGGGGGUUGGAAAGUUUCGGCGGUUGGGGAUGGACUCGCGGCUUAUCAGCUUGUUGGUGGGGUAGUGGCUUACCAAGGCUUUGACGGGUAGCCGGCCUGAGAGGGUGACCGGCCACAUUGGGACUGAGAUACGGCCCAGACUCCUACGGGAGGAAGCAGUGGGGAAUAUUGCACAAUGGGCGGAAGCCUGAUGCAGCAACUCCGCGUGCGGGAUGACGGCCUUCGGGUUGUAAACCGCUUUCGCCUGUGACGAAGCGUGAGUGACGGUAAUGGGUAAAGAAGCACCGGCUAAAUACGUG
RNAcentral lists this ribosomal RNA (468 nucleotides) under uncultured bacterium. RNAcentral's name for it is "partial 16S ribosomal RNA". It matches the Rfam family "Bacterial small subunit ribosomal RNA", at positions 28 to 507 of the family's 1533-position model. The record is from RNAcentral.